This 855-nucleotide long non-coding RNA is filed under the name Phoenix dactylifera (date palm). RNAcentral describes it as "long non-coding RNA (PDAC_LNC015376)". Lineage: Eukaryota; Viridiplantae; Streptophyta; Magnoliopsida; Arecales; Arecaceae. The record is from RNAcentral.
CAAAAACCUUUAUACUUGAUUUUUCGGGAUCACCAAAAAUAUAUGUUGGUUUUACGGGCUCACCAACAAACCUUCACCGUUGGUUUUACGGGUUCACCAACAAACCUACACCAUUGGUUUUACGGGCUCACCAACAAACCUUACAAGAUUGUUAAGAAGAAGAAAAAGAUUGAAACUCCUAGAUGAGCAGAUAUAACAAUUAUAAGCUACAAAGAAGAGUUAGAAUAUAGUAUCGCUUUGAUAAGGCUCUUCUCUUCUUUGUCAAAGAAUGCUUCACUUUUCAAGAGUUGGUGGAGCUCUUAAUGCCUUUUUUUUGAUCUGCUCAACCACUUCCUUUUGACUCUUGAAUGAAGCACCUCGAUGAAGAAAAAUUAGGGCUUUUUCUUUCUUGAGUAAGCUUUGAUAUUUUGCAAAAGGAUACUUCCUCUGAUGAAUAGUAUCACUUUAAAUACUUUUCCUCAUCUAUUGAUUACCUCCUAUUGGUUAGAUUUCAAAAACUAGCCAUUACUAGCUGUUGGAAGGUCAAAAUGUACUUCUGUAGAACUAGCCGUUAUGCUUCUGCUCGUGCUGGGGUCGACUCAAACUUUUCUGGGGUCGACUCAAAUCACUGUUCAUCAUACUUGGGGUCGACUCAACUUUCGCUGGGGUCGACCCAACUUUCGCUGGGGUCGACUCCAGCUACAGUGGGGUCGGCCCUAUCAGGAAUCACAGAACCUUGUAUUUCAACUGUUUUUCACUGGGGGUCGAUUCAACUCUUUUUAGGGUCGACUCAAGCUAUAGUAGGGUCGACUCAAGUUCCAUUGGGGUUGACCCUCUCAGGGAAUCCAGAGAGUUUUGAACGUCAUAGCCUUGGGG